Molecule: ribosomal RNA, 532 nt
Filed under: Endochus sp. 00004472
Lineage: Eukaryota; Metazoa; Arthropoda; Insecta; Hemiptera; Reduviidae
Description: partial 16S ribosomal RNA
Rfam family: Bacterial large subunit ribosomal RNA
Source: RNAcentral
AAAAACAUGUCCUUUUGAAAGUUAAUAUAAGGUCUAGCCUGCCCAAUGAUUUAUUUUAAUGGCCGCGGUAUUUUAACUGUGCUAAGGUAGCAUAAUCACUUGUCUUUUAAUUGAAGGCUAGAAUGAAUGGCUGGACGAAACAUAAGCUUUCUUUAAUUUAAUUAUUUGAAUUUAAUUUUUUAGUUAAAAAGCUAAAAUUUAUUUGAGGGACGAGAAGACCCUAUAGAUCUUUAUAUAUUAUUUUAUUAUAUAUUUUAGUGAAUAUAUUAUUUAUAAUAAAAGAAUAUAUUUAGUUGGGGCGAUUGUAGAAUAGAUAAAACUUCUACUUUUAUUUUUCAUAAAUAAAUGUAUUCUUGAUCCAGAAUUACUGAUUAUAAGAUUAAGUUACCUUAGGGAUAACAGCGUAAUUUUUUCGGAGAGACCUUAUCGAUGAUAAAGCUUGCGACCUCGAUGUUGGAUUAAAAUUAGUUGUAGGUGUAGAAGUCUAUAAACUAGGUCUGUUCGACCUUUAAUUUUUUACAUGAUCUGAGUU